This is a long non-coding RNA of Alligator mississippiensis (American alligator), 514 nucleotides long. RefSeq lists it as uncharacterized. The record is from RefSeq and is a predicted model, not a curated record. NCBI's taxonomy places the organism in Eukaryota, Metazoa, Chordata, Crocodylia, Alligatoridae. The transcript has 3 exons.
GCAGGAGGCCAAGGGCCCUGACACCCUACAGAGCUGACCUGGAGAUGCCGUUUGUCAGCAGCAAAAGCAGAAUUGCCCUGCACUCUGUUUACUCCAGCCGCCGGGGCCUGCAGGAUUAUUGGGUCAGCCCACAGAGGCGGUACCCAGUUGGCAGCACGUGGCGCACCCCCAGCCAGCGACUGCUCAUCCUCCCAGGGAACACUGGUGUGUCCGAGGUGGAGUCCGUCCACUGGCCAAGCUGCUGCCAGUACAAGCACAAGCUGGUAUGGAAAAAUCGUUGGCAGCAUCUUGACUAUUACUACCUGGGCAAGAGAGCUCGCCAUUUCCGGCUCUCAACCAUUCACCUGUGAGAGGAUCACCCAUCCCACCAGUCCUGGGAUGGUUUGCAGUAGAGCCUGCUUGAUCCCCAAGAUGAAGUGGAGAGACCUGAGCCGUUCUGUUCCCUGGCCUCCCCGACAGCAGCCCUCUCACUGGGACUGAAGCUCCCUGCUGCAACACGCGUGCAAUAAAGUGG